Molecule: ribosomal RNA, 301 nt
Filed under: uncultured bacterium
Lineage: Bacteria
Description: partial 16S ribosomal RNA
Rfam family: Bacterial small subunit ribosomal RNA
Source: RNAcentral
CAGCAGCCGCGGGAACACGUAGGGUGCAAGCGUUAAUCGGAAUUACUGGGCGUAAAGCGUGCGCAGGCGGUUUGUUAAGACAGAUGUGAAAUCCCCGGGCUCAACCUGGGAACUGCAUUUGUGACUGGCAAGCUAGAGUAUGGCAGAGGGGGGUGGAAUUCCGCGUGUAGCAGUGAAAUGCGUAGAUAUGCGGAGGAACACCGAUGGCGAAGGCAGCCCCCUGGGCCAAUACUGACGCUGAGGCUCGAAAGCGUGGGGAGCAAACAGGAUUAGAUACCCCCGUAGUCCCUGUCUCUUAUAC